Long non-coding RNA from Bolinopsis microptera, 1106 nucleotides. RefSeq lists it as uncharacterized. The record is from RefSeq and is a predicted model, not a curated record. The transcript has 3 exons. Lineage: Eukaryota; Metazoa; Ctenophora; Tentaculata; Lobata; Bolinopsidae.
UCUUGUUUCAGUCAAGCAUUGAUAAUGAUAUGUUUGCUCAACGCACCAAGGAGACUGUUGGCAUUAAGGAAGCUAAGACAUGAGAGAUUAUUUACUACACUGGCUUCUGCUGCAGACAGCAACAAUUCUUCACACCCUCUGCCUGUGCCCAAGGAAGUCGAGAAUCGAAUAAAGACACUGUGUUCAAGAUAUUCUCCCUGUCGGACUAGUUUUCAGCUUCAGUUUAAUGACUAUAUCAAACUAAAGAAUAGAAUAAAGACCUCGCGAUAUUUUGCAUUACUAGGAGGCUAUGUUUUUGGGUGCUUUACGUUUGCAUCAAAUAGUAUGUGGUUUUUUCCUUGGCUGAUGUCAGACUCUCCUCUCACAAUUAUGGGAAUGGAAGGAAUUGAUCCAAUGAUCAUUGGAACCUGUAUGACAUUUGCAUCUGGUAUUACCUGUGUUAUCAUAACUGCAUUCGGAUAUCGUAAUUUUCAUCUUAGAGUUAUGGGCUCUGAAACAAAGGCAAACUUUCAUCAGAGAGAAGACGAUUUUCAGCGUCGGUUGAACUUAUACAGAUGUACAGACUCAGUAGAGGUGGGGUUUAGUGAUGAUUAUUAUGGAGAUAAAAUCAAGGACCUGACAGACUACAGAUACUGGGUCCGGGUACAGCAGAUUAAACUUGAGAACUCUCAGAGAGCUAAAGAAAUGGCUCAGAAGUCAGAUGAGGGGUAGUUUAGAGUGAACUGUAGGGUGAAAUUUAGAGAAGCUAACGUUUGUUAAUUUAUUUUAAUCGUGCGGGGUGAGACUGAAAUGUCUCAUGUGAAAUUUGUUUACCCGAGUGGAUAAUCGUUUUUCUAAUAUGCUGACUAUGCUAUGUUUGUAUGAAAUAUUAUUCACGAGUAAUAUAGAUAUAUGUGAAGAUAUAUUUCUGGAUAAUUAUGUUCAUUAUAUGAAUUAUUCUAUUGAUCCUAUACUAAUUUAUUGCCAUAUAUUUAUAUCUUUUCGCUCUAUAAUCUUCAAUCUUGUUUGUAGUUGGGUGGGAUAAUAGCAAAUAAAUAGAUGAAUUUUAUCAUUCAGUUUAUUUUAUCAAGUUGUUAUUCACAGCACAGUUAUUCUGUUAUAGCUUU